UGGCGGUGUGCUUCACACAUGCAAGUCGUACGAGGUAGCCAUACACUAGUGGCGGACGGGUGAGUAACGCGUGGGAAUCUGCCUUUAGAUGGGGGAUAACGAGCCGAAAGGUUCGCUAAUACCGCAUAUGCCGUAAGGUGAAAGGAGUAAUCCGUCUAGAGAUGAGCCCGCGUCCGAUUAGCUAGUUGGUAGGGUAAAGGCCUACCAAGGCGACGAUCGGUAGCUGGUCUGAGAGGAUGAUCAGCCACAAUGGGACUGAGACACGGCCCAUACUCCUACGGGAGGCAGCAGUGGGGAAUUUUACGCAAUGGGGGAAACCCUGACGUAGCGACACCGCGUGAGCGAAGAAGCCCCUUGGGGUGUAAAGCUCUGUCGGCUGGAACGAAAAAAAUGACGGUACCAGCAAAGGAAGCAUCGGCUAACUACGUGCCAGCAGCCGCGGUAAGACGUAGGAUGCAAGCGUUGUCCGGAUUUAUUGGGCGUAAAGAGUUCGUAGGCGGUUAUUUAAGUCUGAUGUUAAAUACUGUGGCCCAACCACAGAACUGCAUUGGAUACUGGAUGACUUGAGUGCGGUAGAGGCAAGUGGAAUUCCCAGUGUAGCGGUGAAAUGCGUAGAUAUUGGGAAGAACACCAGUGGCGUAAGCGACUUGCUGGCCCGUAACUGACGCUGAGGAACGAAAGCCAGGGGAGCGAAUGGGAUUAGAUACCCCAGUAGUCCUGGCCGUAAACGAUGGAUACUAGGCGUUGUGGGUAUCGACCCCUGCAGUGCCGCAGCUAACGCGAUAAGUAUCCCGCCUGAGUAGUACGGCCGCAAGGUUAAAACUCAAAGGAAUUGACGGGGCCCCGCA
This 848-nucleotide ribosomal RNA is filed under the name uncultured bacterium. RNAcentral's name for it is "bacterial SSU rRNA". It matches the Rfam family "Bacterial small subunit ribosomal RNA", at positions 37 to 925 of the family's 1533-position model. The record is from RNAcentral.